CCAAGUGAGAUUAGCUAGUUGGUAAGGUAAAGGCUUACCAAGGCGACGAUCUCUAGCUGGUUUGAGAGGAUGAUCAGCCACACUGGGACUGAGACACGGCCCAGACUCCUACGGGAGGCAGCAGUGGGGAAUAUUGCACAAUGGGCGCAAGCCUGAUGCAGCCAUGCCGCGUGUGUGAAGAAGGCCUUCGGGUUGUAAAGCACUUUCAGUUGUGAGGAAAGGGAUGUAGUUAAUAACUGCAUUCUGUGACGUUAGCAACAGAAGAAGCACCGGCUAACUCCGUGCCAGCAGCCGCGGUAAUACGGAGGGUGCGAGCGUUAAUCGGAAUUACUGGGCGUAAAGCGUGCGUAGGCGGUUUGUUAAGCAAGAUGUGAAAGCCCCGGGCUCAACCUGGGAACUGCAUUUUGAACUGGCAGGCUAGAGUUUUGUAGAGGGUGGUGGAAUUUCCAGUGUAGCGGUGAAAUGCGUAGAGAUUGGAAGGAACAUCAGUGGCGAAGGCGGCCAC
RNAcentral lists this ribosomal RNA (505 nucleotides) under Thalassomonas sp. 39Vb. RNAcentral describes it as "bacterial SSU rRNA". It matches the Rfam family "Bacterial small subunit ribosomal RNA", at positions 231 to 728 of the family's 1533-position model. Lineage: Bacteria; Pseudomonadati; Pseudomonadota; Gammaproteobacteria; Alteromonadales; Colwelliaceae. The record is from RNAcentral.